This 253-nucleotide ribosomal RNA is filed under the name uncultured bacterium. RNAcentral describes it as "partial 16S ribosomal RNA". It matches the Rfam family "Bacterial small subunit ribosomal RNA", at positions 524 to 776 of the family's 1533-position model. The record is from RNAcentral.
UACGUAGGGUGCAAGCGUUGUCCGGAAUUAUUGGGCGUAAAGAGCUCGUAGGCGGUUUGUCGCGUCUGCUGUGAAAACGCGAGGCUCAACCUCGCGCCUGCAGUGGGUACGGGCAGACUAGAGUGUGGUAGGGGAGAUUGGAAUUCCUGGUGUAGCGGUGGAAUGCGCAGAUAUCAGGAGGAACACCGAUGGCGAAGGCAGAUCUCUGGGCCAUUACUGACGCUGAGGAGCGAAAACGUGGGGAGCGAACAGG